AGUAACAGCCAUAUCACACUGCAGCCCAAGACUGGUUGCCCACUGAAGCUAAGCAGGGUUCAACCUGGUCAGUACCUGGAUGGGAGACCUCCUGGGAAAACUAGGUUGCUGUUGGAA
Molecule: ribosomal RNA, 117 nt
Filed under: Sinocyclocheilus anshuiensis
Lineage: Eukaryota; Metazoa; Chordata; Actinopteri; Cypriniformes; Cyprinidae
Source: RNAcentral